GACGAACGCUGGCGGCGUGCUUAAUACAUGCAAGUCGAACGGAAAGGCCCUGCUCUUGUUGGUUGCUCGUUUGGCGAACGGGUGAGUAUCACGUGUGUAACCUGUCCCUGUCUUUGUGAUAACUUCUCGAAACUCCGGCUAUUAUCGCAUAUGAUCUCCUGCUGCAUGUUGGGCGUUGGAAAGUUUCGGCGGUUGGGGAUGUACUCGCGGCUUAUCCGCUUGUUGGUGGGGUAGUGGCUUACCAAGGCUUUGACGGGUAGCCGGCCUGAGAGGGUGACCGGCCACAUUGGGACUGAGAUACGGACCAGACUCCAACGGGAGGCAGCAGGGGGGAAUAUUGCACAAUGGGCGGAAGCCUGAGGCAGAAACGCCGCGUGCGGGAUAACGGCCUUCGGGUUGUAAACCGAUUUCGAAGGUGACGAAGAGUGAGUGACGGUAAUGGGUAAAGAAGCACCGGCUAACUACGUG
Molecule: ribosomal RNA, 468 nt
Filed under: uncultured bacterium
Lineage: Bacteria
Description: partial 16S ribosomal RNA
Rfam family: Bacterial small subunit ribosomal RNA
Source: RNAcentral